CUAAAUUAACCCCAUGGCAGUUCAAGGGGUCUGGAUUUUAUGACUCCCAGAUCUGGGUUCUGUUCCUUUAGCUCUCCAAUACUGUGUGGUGCUGUGUGCAUUUAAGCAGCUUGCUAAAACCUGGGCAGCUCCUCCUCUUCCUCCUCCUCUUCCUCUUCCUCCUCCUCUUCCUCCUCCUCCUCCUCCUCCUCCUCCUCC
Perognathus longimembris pacificus (Pacific pocket mouse) is the source of this 198-nucleotide long non-coding RNA. RefSeq lists it as uncharacterized. The transcript is spliced from 3 exons. Lineage: Eukaryota; Metazoa; Chordata; Mammalia; Rodentia; Heteromyidae. The record is from RefSeq and is a predicted model, not a curated record.